This is a long non-coding RNA of Talpa occidentalis (Iberian mole), 411 nucleotides long. RefSeq lists it as uncharacterized. The transcript is spliced from 3 exons. NCBI's taxonomy places the organism in Eukaryota, Metazoa, Chordata, Mammalia, Eulipotyphla, Talpidae. The record is from RefSeq and is a predicted model, not a curated record.
CCGAAUCCGUGACCACCCUGCGCAGUCUCUCAACCCUGAGACGGCCUCAUCGUCUACUGCUGUGCUGGUCCGCGGCAGGUGGCGCCUGAACGUGGGGCCCAAAUUCAAAUAUUGCUGAGUUUUUCCACCCAAAGGAGAGGGUUCCAGAGACCUCUGAAAAUGAUGAGGAAGCUUGCCUCCAUUGGCAGGACUGAAUAACCCGGUUCCCUGGACAGAAAGCUCUGUCAUGAAGCCUGAACUCUUUCGUCUUUUCACUGCCUUUGAUGAUGUACACUUCAAACAACCUGGACAGGACACCGCUAAGAUCCCAGUGCGUGCCUGCGUUGGAUACCCCUUUGCUCUGCUCCUGGGAAAUGCUUCAUCCACACUCUCUCAACCCUGAGACGGCCUCAUCGUCUACUGCUGUGCUGG